AAUGGGGGCAACCCUGAUCUAGCCAUGCCGCGUGAGUGAUGAAGGCCUUAGGGUCGUAAAGCUCUUUCGCCUGUGAUGAUAAUGACAGUAGCAGGUAAAGAAACCCCGGCUAACUCCGUGCCAGCAGCCGCGGUAAUACGGAGGGGGUUAGCGUUGUUCGGAAUUACUGGGCGUAAAGCGCGCGUAGGCGGACUAGAAAGUUGGGGGUGAAAUCCCGGGGCUCAACCUCGGAACUGCCUCCAAAACUGCUAGUCUAGAGUUCGAGAGAGGUGAGUGGAAUUCCGAGUGUAGAGGUGAAAUUCGUAGAUAUUCGGAGGAACACCAGUGGCGAAGGCGGCUCACUGGCUCGAUACUGACGCUGAGGUGCGAAAGUGUGGGGAGCAAACAGGAUU
This 392-nucleotide ribosomal RNA is filed under the name uncultured Gammaproteobacteria bacterium. Its description in RNAcentral is "bacterial SSU rRNA". It matches the Rfam family "Bacterial small subunit ribosomal RNA", at positions 370 to 779 of the family's 1533-position model. Lineage: Bacteria; Pseudomonadati; Pseudomonadota; Gammaproteobacteria. The record is from RNAcentral.